RNAcentral lists this ribosomal RNA (301 nucleotides) under uncultured bacterium. Its description in RNAcentral is "partial 16S ribosomal RNA". It matches the Rfam family "Bacterial small subunit ribosomal RNA", at positions 510 to 808 of the family's 1533-position model. The record is from RNAcentral.
CACCGCCGCGGUAAUACGAAGGGUGCAAGCGUUACUCGGAAUUACUGGGCGUAAAGCGUGCGUAGGUGGUGGUUUAAGUCCGUUGUGAAAGCCCUGGGCUCAACCUGGGAAUUGCAGUGGAUACUGGGUCACUAGAGUGUGGUAGAGGAUAGUGGAAUUUCCGGUGUAGCAGUGAAAUGCGUAGAGAUCGGAAGGAACAUCUGUGGCGAAGGCGACUAUCUGGGCCAACACUGACACUGAGGCACGAAAGCGUGGGGAGCAAACAGGAUUAGAUACCCGAGUAGUCCCUGUCUCUUAUACA